UCUUUUUACCCAACAAAAUUGAACGAAACCCAUCUUUUAUUAUCUUCUCGCAUUUCUAAGGCAACACUGAGUCAGAGAAGGACAUAGCUCACUGCCCUGAGGGUUCUCAGUGCUCAGAGCUCAGAGCUCUGGUUGAUUGUGGAGAAAUUUAGGAGGAAAAUGAAAAUGAUAUGAUACCACAAUGCAAAUAUUGACUAAGAAGCUGGUUUGGUUUGAC
This is a non-coding RNA of Prunus avium (sweet cherry), 217 nucleotides long. The record is from RefSeq and is a predicted model, not a curated record. Lineage: Eukaryota; Viridiplantae; Streptophyta; Magnoliopsida; Rosales; Rosaceae.